This 497-nucleotide ribosomal RNA is filed under the name uncultured bacterium. Its description in RNAcentral is "partial 16S ribosomal RNA". It matches the Rfam family "Bacterial small subunit ribosomal RNA", at positions 28 to 507 of the family's 1533-position model. The record is from RNAcentral.
GAUGAACGCUGGCGGCGUGCCUAAUACAUGCAAGUCGAGCGAACAGACGAGGAGCUUGCUUCUCUGACGUUAGCGGCGGACGGGUGAGUAACACGUGGAUAACCUACCUAUAAGACUGGGAUAACUUCGGGAAACCGGAGCUAAUACCGGAUAAUAUUUUGAACCGCAUGGUUCAAUAGUGAAAGACGGUUUUGCUGUCACUUAUAGAUGGAUCCGCGCUGCAUUAGCUAGUUGGUAAGGUAACGGCUUACCAAGGCGACGAUGCGUAGCCGACCUGAGAGGGUGAUCGGCCACACUGGAACUGAGACACGGUCCAGACUCCUACGGGAGGCAGCAGUAGGGAAUCUUCCGCAAUGGGCGAAAGCCUGACGGAGCAACGCCGCGUGAGUGAUGAAGGUCUUCGGAUCGUAAAACUCUGUUAUUAGGGAAGAACAAAUGUGUAAGUAACUAUGCACAUCUUGACGGUACCUAAUCAGAAAGCCACGGCUAACUACGUG